Molecule: ribosomal RNA, 484 nt
Filed under: uncultured bacterium
Lineage: Bacteria
Description: partial 16S ribosomal RNA
Rfam family: Bacterial small subunit ribosomal RNA
Source: RNAcentral
AUUGAACGCUGGCGGAAUGCUUUACACAUGCAAGUCGAACGGCAGCACGGGGGCAGCCCUGGUGGCGAGUGGCGAACGGGUGAGUAAUACAUCGGAACGUGCCCGGUCGUGGGGGAUAACGUCGCGAAAGUUACGCUAAUACCGCAUACGAUCUGAGGAUGAAAGCGGGGGACCUUCGGGCCUCGCGCGAUCGGAGCGGCCGAUGUCAGAUUAGGUAGUUGGUGGGGUAAAGGCCUACCAAGCCGACGAUCUGUAGCUGGUCUGAGAGGACGACCAGCCACACUGGGACUGAGACACGGCCCAGACUCCUACGGGAGGCAGCAGUGGGGAAUUUUGGACAAUGGGCGCAAGCCUGAUCCAGCCAUGCCGCGUGCAGGACGAAGGCCUUCGGGUUGUAAACUGCUUUUGUACGGAACGAAAAGGCUCUGGCUAAUACCUGGGGCUCAUGACGGUACCGUAAGAAUAAGCACCGGCUAACUACGUG